CGAUGAUGCCAGCUCGCUGGUGGAUUAGUGGCGAACGGGUGAGUAACACGUGAGUAACCUGCCCUUGACUCUGGGAUAAGCCUGGGAAACUGGGUCUAAUACCGGAUAUGACCUUCCAUCGCAUGGUGGUUGGUGGAAAGCUUUUGUGGUUUUGGAUGGACUCGCGGCCUAUCAGCUUGUUGGUGGGGUAAUGGCCUACCAAGGCGACGACGGGUAGCCGGCCUGAGAGGGUGACCGGCCACACUGGGACUGAGACACGGCCCAGACUCCUACGGGAGGCAGCAGUGGGGAAUAUUGCACAAUGGGCGCAAGCCUGAUGCAGCGACGCCGCGUGAGGGAUGACGGCCUUCGGGUUGUAAACCUCUUUCAGUAGGGAAGAAGCCGCAAGGUGACGGUACCUGCAGAAGAAGCGCCGGCUAACUACGUGCCAGCAGCCGCGGUAAUACGUAGGGCGCAAGCGUUAUCCGGGAAUUAUUGGGCGUAAAGAGCUCGUAGGCGGUUUGUCGCGUCUGCCGUGAAAGUCCGGGGCUCAACUCCGGAUCUGCGGUGGGUACGGGCAGACUAGAGUGAUGUAGGGGAGACUGGAAUUCCUGGUGUAGCGGUGAAAUGCGCAGAUAUCAGGAGGAACACCGAUGGCGAAGGCAGGUCUCUGGGCAUUAACUGACGCUGAGGAGCGAAAGCAUGGGGAGCGAACAGGAUUAGAUACCCUGGUAGUCCAUGCCGUAAACGUUGGGCACUAGGUGUGGGGGACAUUCCACGUUUUCCGCGCCGUAGCUAACGCAUUAAGUGCCCCGCCUGGGGAGUACGGCCGCAAGGCUAAAACUCAAAGGAAUUGACGGGGGCCCGCACAAGCGGCGGAGCAUGCGGAUUAAUUCGAUGCAACGCGAAGAACCUUACCAAGGCUUGACAUGAACCAGACCGGGCUGGAAACAGUUCCUUCCCCUUUGGGGUUGGUUUACAGGUGGUGCAUGGUUGUCGUCAGCUCGUGUCGUGAGAUGUUGGGUUAAGUCCCGCAACGAGCGCAACCCUCGUUCCAUGUUGCCAGCGGGUAGUGCCGGGGACUCAUGGGAGACUGCCGGGGUCAACUCGGAGGAAGGUGGGGACGACGUCAAAUCAUCAUGCCCCUUAUGUCUUGGGCUUCACGCAUGCUACAAUGGCCGGUACAAAGGGUUGCGAUACUGUGAGGUGGAGCUAAUCCCAAAAAGCCGGUCUCAGUUCGGAUUGGGGUCUGCAACUCGACCCCAUGAAGUCGGAGUCGCUAGUAAUCGCAGAUCAGCAACGCUGCGGUGAAUACGUUCCCGGGCCUUGUACACACCGCCCGUCAAGUCACGAAAGUUGGUAACACCCGAAGCCGGUGGCCUAACCCCUU
Molecule: ribosomal RNA, 1369 nt
Filed under: Pseudarthrobacter enclensis
Lineage: Bacteria; Bacillati; Actinomycetota; Actinomycetes; Micrococcales; Micrococcaceae
Description: bacterial SSU rRNA
Rfam family: Bacterial small subunit ribosomal RNA
Source: RNAcentral